RNAcentral lists this ribosomal RNA (253 nucleotides) under uncultured bacterium. Its description in RNAcentral is "partial 16S ribosomal RNA". It matches the Rfam family "Bacterial small subunit ribosomal RNA", at positions 524 to 776 of the family's 1533-position model. The record is from RNAcentral.
UACGUAGGGGGCGAGCGUUGUCCGGAUUUAUUGGGCGUAAAGAGCGUGUAGGCGGCCAGGUAGGUCUGCUGUGAAAACUCGAGGCUCAACCUCGAGACGUCGGCGGAAACCAUCUGGCUAGAGUCCGGAAGAGGAGAGUGGAAUUCCUGGUGUAGCGGUGAAAUGCGCAGAUAUCAGGAGGAACACCAGUGGCGAAGGCGCUCUGCUAGGCCGUAACUGACACUGAGGGACGAAAGCUAGGGGAGCGAAUGGG